AGAUUGAACGCUAGCGGCAUGCCUAACACAUGCAAGUCGAACGGUAACAGGCCCUUCGGGGUGCUGACGAGUGGCGGACGGGUGAGUAAUGCGUAGGAAUCUACCCACGAGUGGGGGAUAGCCCGGAGAAAUCCGGAUUAAUACCGCAUAUGCCCUACGGGGUAAAGCGGGGAUCGUAAGACCUCGCGCUGGUGGAUGACGCCUAGUUAGUUGGGUAGGGUAACGGCCUACGAGCUACGAGUCGGUAGCGUGGUCUGAGGAGGACCGACCACGCCACACGUGGGACUGAGACGACCGGCCCAGACUCCGUACGGGAGGCAGC
RNAcentral lists this ribosomal RNA (322 nucleotides) under uncultured prokaryote. RNAcentral's name for it is "bacterial SSU rRNA". It matches the Rfam family "Bacterial small subunit ribosomal RNA", at positions 26 to 352 of the family's 1533-position model. The record is from RNAcentral.